GGGUUGUGAGGUUAAGCGACUAAGCGUACACGGUGGAUGCCCUGGCAGUCAGAGGCGAUGAAGGGCGUGCUAAUCUGCGAUAAGCGCCGGUAAGGUGAUAUGAACCGUUAUAACCGGCGAUACCCGAAUGGGGAAACCCAGUGUGACUCGUCACACUAUCAUUAACUGAAUCCAUAGGUUAAUGAGGCGAACCGGGGGAACUGAAACAUCUAAGUACCCCGAGGAAAAGAAAUCAACCGAGAUUCCCCCAGUAGCGGCGAGCGAACGGGGAGGAGCCCAGAGCCUGAAUCAGCAUGUGUGUUAGUGGAAGCGUCUGGAAAGGCGCGCGAUACAGGGUGACAGCCCCGUACACAAAAGCGCAUGUGCUGUGAGCUCGAUGAGUAGGGCGGGACACGUGGUAUCCUGUCUGAAUAUGGGGGGACCAUCCUCCAAGGCUAAAUACUCCUGACUGACCGAUAGUGAACCAGUACCGUGAGGGAAAGGCGAAAAGAACCCCGGCGAGGGGAGUGAAAAAGAACCUGAAACCGUGUACGUACAAGCAGUGGGAGCCCCACCACUAAGCCAGUGGUGAACUCCACAUCCGCAUCCUUUGCUGAGGAUACGGUUAACGGAGCGAAAGCGACGUUCAACCGCAAAACAAGCAGAGGGGGCUUAGUGGUGGGGUGACUGCGUACCUUUUGUAUAAUGGGUCAGCGACUUAUAUUCUGUAGCAAGGUUAACCGAAUAGGGGAGCCGGAGGGAAACCGAGUCUUAAUUGGGCGUUAAGUUGCAGGGUAUAGACCCGAAACCCGGUGAUCUAGCCAUGGGCAGGUUGAAGGUUGGGUAACACUAACUGGAGGACCGAACCGACUAAUGUUGAAAAAUUAGCGGAUGACCUGUGGCUGGGGGUGAAAGGCCAAUCAAACCGGGAGAUAGCUGGUUCUCCCCGAAAGCUAUUUAGGUAGCGCCUCGUGAAUUCAUCUCCGGGGGUAGAGCACUGUUUCGGCUAGGGGGCCAUCCCGGCUUACCAACCCGAUGCAAACUGCGAAUACCGGAGAAUGUUAUCACGGGAGACACACGGCGGGUGCUAACGUCCGUCGUGAAGAGGGAAACAACCCAGACCGCCAGCUAAGGUCCCAAAGUCAUGGUUAAGUGGGAAACGAUGUGGGAAGGCCCAGACAGCCAGGAUGUUGGCUUAGAAGCAGCCAUCAUUUAAAGAAAGCGUAAUAGCUCACUGGUCGAGUCGGCCUGCGCGGAAGAUGUAACGGGGCUAAACCAUGCACCGAAGCUGCGGCAGCGACGCUGAUGCGUUGUUGGGUAGGGGAGCGUUCUGUAAGCCUGCGAAGGUGACCUGUGAGGGUUGCUGGAGGUAUCAGAAGUGCGAAUGCUGACAUAAGUAACGAUAAAGCGGGUGAAAAGCCCGCUCGCCGGAAGACCAAGGGUUCCUGUCCAACGUUAAUCGGGGCAGGGUGAGUCGACCCCUAAGGCGAGGCCGAAAGGCGUAGUCGAUGGGAAACGGGUUAAUAUUCCCGUACUUGGUGUUACUGCGAAGGGGGGACGGAGAAGGCUAUGUUGGCCGGGCGACGGUUGUCCCGGUUUAAGCGUGUAGGUGUGUGUUCCAGGUAAAUCCGGUUCACUUUAACACUGAGGCGUGAUGACGAGGCACUACGGUGCUGAAGCAACAAAUGCCCUGCUUCCAGGAAAAGCCUCUAAGCAUCAGGUAACAUCAAAUCGUACCCCAAACCGACACAGGUGGUCAGGUAGAGAAUACCAAGGCGCUUGAGAGAACUCGGGUGAAGGAACUAGGCAAAAUGGUGCCGUAACUUCGGGAGAAGGCACGCUGACACGUAGGUGAAGUGAUUUACUCAUGGAGCUGAAGUCAGUCGAAGAUACCAGCUGGCUGCAACUGUUUAUUAAAAACACAGCACUGUGCAAACACGAAAGUGGACGUAUACGGUGUGACGCCUGCCCGGUGCCGGAAGGUUAAUUGAUGGGGUCAGCGCAAGCGAAGCUCCUGAUCGAAGCCCCGGUAAACGGCGGCCGUAACUAUAACGGUCCUAAGGUAGCGAAAUUCCUUGUCGGGUAAGUUCCGACCUGCACGAAUGGCGUAAUGAUGGCCAGGCUGUCUCCACCCGAGACUCAGUGAAAUUGAACUCGCUGUGAAGAUGCAGUGUACCCGCGGCAAGACGGAAAGACCCCGUGAACCUUUACUAUAGCUUGACACUGAACAUUGAGCCUUGAUGUGUAGGAUAGGUGGGAGGCUUUGAAGUGUGGACGCCAGUCUGCAUGGAGCCGACCUUGAAAUACCACCCUUUAAUGUUUGAUGUUCUAACGUGGACCCGUAAUCCGGGUUGCGGACAGUGUCUGGUGGGUAGUUUGACUGGGGCGGUCUCCUCCUAAAGAGUAACGGAGGAGCACGAAGGUUGGCUAAUCCUGGUCGGACAUCAGGAGGUUAGUGCAAUGGCAUAAGCCAGCUUGACUGCGAGCGUGACGGCGCGAGCAGGUGCGAAAGCAGGUCAUAGUGAUCCGGUGGUUCUGAAUGGAAGGGCCAUCGCUCAACGGAUAAAAGGUACUCCGGGGAUAACAGGCUGAUACCGCCCAAGAGUUCAUAUCGACGGCGGUGUUUGGCACCUCGAUGUCGGCUCAUCACAUCCUGGGGCUGAAGUAGGUCCCAAGGGUAUGGCUGUUCGCCAUUUAAAGUGGUACGCGAGCUGGGUUUAGAACGUCGUGAGACAGUUCGGUCCCUAUCUGCCGUGGGCGCUGGAGAACUGAGGGGGGCUGCUCCUAGUACGAGAGGACCGGAGUGGACGCAUCACUGGUGUUCGGGUUGUCAUGCCAAUGGCACUGCCCGGUAGCUAAAUGCGGAAGAGAUAAGUGCUGAAAGCAUCUAAGCACGAAACUUGCCCCGAGAUGAGUUCUCCCUGAGACUUUAGGUCUCCUGAAGGAACGUUGAAGACGACGACGUUGAUAGGCCGGGUGUGUAAGCGCAGCGAUGCGUUGAGCUAACCGGUACUAAUGAACCGUGAGGCUUAACCUUACAACGCCGAAG
RNAcentral lists this ribosomal RNA (3028 nucleotides) under Salmonella enterica subsp. enterica serovar Typhimurium. RNAcentral describes it as "23S ribosomal RNA". It matches the Rfam family "Bacterial large subunit ribosomal RNA". Lineage: Bacteria; Pseudomonadati; Pseudomonadota; Gammaproteobacteria; Enterobacterales; Enterobacteriaceae. The record is from RNAcentral.